This 201-nucleotide long non-coding RNA is filed under the name Olea europaea (common olive). Its description in RNAcentral is "long non-coding RNA (OEUR_LNC008404)". The record is from RNAcentral. Lineage: Eukaryota; Viridiplantae; Streptophyta; Magnoliopsida; Lamiales; Oleaceae.
UAAUCUUUAAGAGGUUUAUUCAAAUUGUAUCUAUACUUCGAAAAUGUAUUGGAAGCUGAAAUCAAAGCCCUUUGAAGAGUUGAAUGGCAUGGGUAGUGAAGAAAAAAUUGAAUUGACGGAGCGCAACUAUUUGAUUUGUUCCUCAGUUUCAAGCAAGGAGGACUACAUGGUGGUUGGUGGAUGAAGAACAGGUGAUUGGGU